CUGGAAUGCCCCGCUGCCUGCUGGGCUGGUGGGGAGGGUGGCCAGGCCACACCUCCAAGGCUGGGAGGAGAGCUUCCGGGAAGGGAGACAACCCUUUGAGGUGGGUGCAAAGGGACUAA
RNAcentral lists this long non-coding RNA (119 nucleotides) under Fukomys damarensis (Damara mole-rat). RNAcentral describes it as "lncRNA (ENSFDAG00000026532.1)". The record is from RNAcentral. Lineage: Eukaryota; Metazoa; Chordata; Mammalia; Rodentia; Bathyergidae.